CCGGACCCGCCCAUACUGCUUAGCUAAUAUGACGUCGUUUUGGCAAUUAGGAAAGGGAAUACCCUCAGUUUCUCCUCAUUCUCAUCUCUCUCGUCUCUCACUCUCGUGUAUGAAACCCUCACACCGUCAACCGUCUCUCUCACCAACCACCCUGACUCAACCUCACCGCCACCAUCAGCUACCAUCUCUCACAAACCACCAUUUAUCCUAUUUUAUCAACACUAAAUCAAAGGUUGAUACAGUUGCAAGGUAAUAAUUCUUUAUCCGUUUAUGCUACUAAUGGCACCAACCACUGAAUCAAUACGAUUUUGUUGCAAGGUUAAUCUUUUAUUGACUUCAUGGGUGAUUUAGUUUCUUCAAGGUUUUUGCUUGUUGAAAAGUACUUGCUGUUUUGUGUGCUCAACCAAUGCAUUUCAAAUAGUUGGUAACUUAUGUGGUGGGACAUACUUGAUAUUGUGGUUAGUGUUAAUAAAAAUUCUCUCAUAAUAUUGUGGUACCAGCUUAUAUAAUAGCACAAGUUCUUGGAUCCACUCUUGCAAGUGAAACACCAGUACACCAGCUUAUAUAUCAGCUUAUUUUCAUCAGUGAAAAUGCUUACCUACAGCUUAUAUAUUAGCUUAUUUUCAUCAGUGAAAAUGCUUACCUGCAGGAGUUGUAUAUAGGGACUAUUAUUAUUUAAGUUGUAAUUUAAAUUUAUGUUGAUGCUGAAGCUAUGUUGUAGUCAUUUGGAUUUAUGUUGAAUUUUAAUUUAUGUUAAAUUAAGUUGUAGUAAUUUGUAGCUCAAAA
Long non-coding RNA from Vicia villosa (hairy vetch), 786 nucleotides. RefSeq lists it as uncharacterized. NCBI's taxonomy places the organism in Eukaryota, Viridiplantae, Streptophyta, Magnoliopsida, Fabales, Fabaceae. The transcript is spliced from 5 exons. The record is from RefSeq and is a predicted model, not a curated record.